Molecule: ribosomal RNA, 412 nt
Filed under: uncultured bacterium
Lineage: Bacteria
Description: bacterial SSU rRNA
Rfam family: Bacterial small subunit ribosomal RNA
Source: RNAcentral
AACGAACGCUGGCGGCGCGCCUAAUACAUGCAAGUCGAGCGAGAAGACGUAGCAGUACGUUUGUAAAGCGGCGAACGGGUGAGGAAUACAUGGGUAACCUACCCUAGAGUGGGGAAUAACUAGCCGAAAGGUUAGCUAAUACCGCGUACGCUCCUUGGACUUCGGUACAGGGAGGAAAGCGAUACCGUGGGUAUCGCGCUCUUGGAUGGGCUCAUGUCCUAUCAGCUUGUUGGUGAGGAACGGCUCACCAAGGCUUCGACGGGUAGCUGGUCUGAGAGGACGAUCAGCCACACUGGCACUGCGACACGGGCCAGACUCCUACGGGAGCAGCAGUAAGGAAUAUUGCGCAAUGGGCGAAAGCCUGACGCAGCGACGCCGCGUGGGGGAUGAAGGUCUUCGGAUUGUAAACCCC